Molecule: ribosomal RNA, 269 nt
Filed under: uncultured prokaryote
Description: partial 16S ribosomal RNA
Rfam family: Bacterial small subunit ribosomal RNA
Source: RNAcentral
UACGGAGGAUCCGAGCGUUAUCCGGAUUUAUUGGGUUUAAAGGGUGCGCAGGCGGGAGAUUAAGUCGGCGGUGAAAUUUUGCAGCUCAACUGUAAAAGUGCCUUCGAAACUGGUUUCCUUGAGUGUGGAUGAAGUAGGCGGAAUUUGUGGUGUAGCGGUGAAAUGCAUAGAUAUCACGAGGAACUCCGAUUGCGCAGGCAGCUUACUAAACCAUAACUGACGCUCAGGCACGAAGGCGUGGGGAUCAAACAGGAUUAGAUACCCUGGUA